UGUUCCAGUGCUUCCUAUAAAUAGAGGAGGCGCUGGUGUUUCGCGACGUCCUUUAGCGCGUGGUCUGGCGUGGUUCUGCUCGUGCGCUCGCGAGUGCAUUCGGAUUUUGGUUAAGAACGCAGUAGGCCUACGACUGCGACUGUCAGGUUAGUACAGGCCGGUACUCGACGUCAACAUAGAGAUACGCCGAUAUUUUCCGCGGACAACACGCUCUGUUCGAACGCUGAGCCGAGUAGCACGGCCGACCCCGCUGAGUCGAACUCCGGUGCCAUGGAUCUCACGAGCGUCUUGGCUGCCCUGGAUCCCAUUAUGGUGAAACACUGCGGAGCGGGCCAUUGUACGGCGUUUUACAAGGUCAUUAAGGAUGGCCGAGAGCUCUGGAGGGCUCAAGUUCCUGUGCUGUGGCCCCACGAAAUGUCUGUCGAUGCCUUGGCGCUGUCCAAGAGAGAGUCGCUGUUGAUGGCAAGGGCCCGCGUGUGCUCAACUCUGCAGGAGCUGGGAAUCUUAGAUUCUAAAAUUUUUGAACAGGAGCCACCACAUGAAGCCGCAGGCGAACUUUGUCCUUCCAGAGCCAGUUCCAACGACGUCGUCACACUGCCCGGUACCCCAGGCCAAGUGGGCACCUUAGUGUCUCCAGAACCACCUGCUGACCAGCUGCCUGCCACGCAGACACAGAAGAUGGUGAGAAGAAACCUUGCGGAACCUAGCCAGAGACUGAAAUCGUGGACCAAGAAGAGGAAAAGACACAGCGCAACAAAGACAGGGACACGAGAGAGCGACACGCACACUGCGCUGACUUGCAACAGUUUAUUCAUGAGGACAUAAAGGAAUAAAUAUAUAUGGCACUACCAAGCGCAACAUGUGAAAACUUAGCAAAACACUGGAGCAUCAUUUCCAAUGAUCAUAAUGAUAGCCACGUGCUGACAAUGCACACUGGCUGUUUUUAAUUCAAAUGUUGUUUAGAUAUGCGAAUUCCCAAGAUAAAAGUGCAAUCAAAGGGGAACUGACACACGAGCUAUCAAAUUUACUGAUAAAAUCUGCCUCAAUGAUUUCACGCGUGAGCUGUAAAUUAUGUCUAGCCAGCAUUUCGCUUUGUUAAAGCAGGGCGUACACCCGUGAUCACGGCAAUGAAUGCCCAGAUGACCCUGUACUAUGUUGUACACACUUUUAUGGUGCUCUCUGAGACGAUCAUUUAUACAGCUGCCGGUCUGUCCCAUGUACUUUUUCCACAGGAAAGAGGAAUCAUAUACACCACGCCAGUGGUGCUGGACACUAAACCAUUCCCGUGUUUCACAGUACAACGACCACGCCUGGUUUGUGAACCAAACUUACAAAGUUUUGAUAGUCCACCGCAACACCAGCGUGUUGCCCUACCCUCUUCAGAUUGUGAGAGAGGUCAUGUAUAUACGGAAGUAUUGCAAGUUUUUUUUUUUCCACUGGCGGACGUGGUGCUCGAUUGUUUUCACCCCGCUUGAUUUGCUUAAAAAGCUUUUCCGCGAUGGCUGAUAUUAAAGCCUUCGUGUAUCCGGCAGAUAACAAGCGGUCAACCUGCACAUCAAAACUUCUUUGCAUUGAAUAUGGACAUGACUUUCUGAAGGCAUUGACGAGGCACACAUUAAAGAUUCCUCUUUUCCGGUUUUUAAGCAAAUCAAGCGGGGUGAAAACAAUCGAGCACCACGUCCGCCAGUGAAAAAAAAAAGCUUGCAGUAUUCCAUACAUACAUGAUGUGUCCCACAAACUGAAGAGGGUAGGGCAACGCACUGGUGUUGCGGUGGUUUUUUCUGCUCCAGAAAAGCUAUCGAAACUUUGCAAGUUUGGUUCGCAAACCAGGCAUGGUCAUUGUACUGUGAAACACAGGAAUGGCUUAGUGUCCUGCCCCACUGACGUGGUGUAUAUGAUUCCUCUCUCCUGUGGAAAAAAGUAUGUGGGACAGACCGGCAGGUGCAUAAAUGAUCGUCUCAGGGAGCAAUAUGACAAUGUGUACAACACGGUACAGGGUCUUCGGGGCAUUCAUUGCCGUGAUCACGGGUGUAAGCCCUACUUUGACAAAAGUGAAAUGCUGGCUAGACCUAACUUACAGCUUACACGUGAAAUCAUUGAGACAGAUUUCAUCAAGAAAUUUGAUAGCUCGUGUGUCAAUUCACCUUCGAUUGCACUUUCAUCUCGGGAAUUCGCAUAUCUAAACAACAUUUGAAUGACAAACAGCCAGUGUGCAUUGUCAGCACAUGGCUAUCAUUAUCACCAUUGGAAAUGAUGCUCCAGUGUUUUGCUAAGUUUUCACAUGUUGGCUCAUGGUAGUGCCAUAUACAUUUAUUCCUUCAUGUCCUCAUGAAUAAACUGUUGCAAGUCAGCGCUGCGUGCGUGUCGCUCUCUCGUGUCCCUGUCUUUGUUACGCUGUGUUUUUUCCCAAUGAAUCACCAAGCCCAAGUUGAGCCAAGUCAAUAGUGCACAACAUUUACGCCAUUGUUGAUGUGCAAUUUGAAAGAUAAUAGGAGCCUGAUGGCGUCCUACAACUCAAAUGUCAAACAGGGCAAAGUUUGUCACUGGACAUCUAUGGUCACGUGAAGUUGCGAUUCAAAGAGGUAUUUGAAGGCAGUGCCAGGAACAACUGCAGCUCUUGUGCAGCAGCUUGUGGAAAAAGGCCACGUAGACAAACAUUUAACCCCAAAGACUGCUUCGGUCCAGGAGGUGCGACGCCAGAACCACCACUGGAUUGCUCCGGCAAAGUUUCUCUCUGGACAUCGACGGUCUCCUGAAGUUGCAAUUCAAAGAGGUAUUUGAAGGCAGUGCCAGGAACAACUGCAGCUCUUGUGCAGCAGCUUGUGGAAAAAGGCCACGUAGACAAACACUUAAGCCCAAAGACUGUUUGGGACCAGGAGGUGCGAUACCAGAAGAACCACUUGAUUGCUCCGGUAUGUAUGAAGCUGCCAGAAACCUCCACUGCCGGUAUGCAGGACAUACUCGUAGAGUUUGCGGCAAGUGCCGAUUGCAGUUCAGAACAAUACGUACUGCAUUUUUGUGCAUAUAACCCGCAUGCAAAAUACUGAAAGUUCAACCGUAUAGUCGGGGUGCAAGGUCAUUUGUAAAUUUUGCCAUGAGGUGCGGCGUCAUGGCAGCGUACACCAUGCUCCUGCGAAGCCAAAACUCGAGGCGGAGUUUGCCACCAUUCUGUUUCCUUAUCUCCUUGGGAACCCCACCUUUUCCCGACCCCUGCAUGCAAAGCUCCAUUUUCUGAUCUUUCAUGGUCGCCCAUUCUCCUCUUUUCAGGUCACCUUUUUGUUUCGGCCUCGUUAGUGGUUUGCAAAUAGGGCAUUGGUGAAUCAGAAGUCGGAUCGCAAUGAGCUGAGCCCAGUGGCGGUCCUCUAGACUGCAAUAUAAGCUGAAGAUUAUGAGCUUUGUCGAAUGGAGACUGUUUUUACAAAGACUUAAGCGUUGAUGUAUGCAGUUGUUGGUGCAUGUUAUACGCGUGAAUUGGAUUGGACUGGACAAACUUUACUUAGGUCCUGCAGGCCACGCUUAGGGCGUAGCGGGCAUCUCCCAUGUAGGGACUGACAGGGAAUACCUGGCGGCCGCUUCGUGGGCCUGCUGAAUGCCCCAUUGCUGGUCGGCGAGAAGUGAGCUUCUGAGGGACUCCUCUCACUUGUUCGAGGUUGAGUCAGGAUGAGCAUUUCUACACUCCCAGAGCAUGUGUGCGAGUGUCGCCGUGUAUCCACACGAGGGGCACAUGUCGCUGGGGUAUGAGUCAGGAUAGAGAACAUCCCCGCAGGGGCGUCUGCAUCAGCAGGCAUUUGGUGUGUUGCGACACCAC
Long non-coding RNA from Dermacentor silvarum, 3808 nucleotides. RefSeq lists it as uncharacterized. Lineage: Eukaryota; Metazoa; Arthropoda; Arachnida; Ixodida; Ixodidae. The record is from RefSeq and is a predicted model, not a curated record. The transcript has 7 exons.